CCCAGUUCGGAUUGUAGUCUGCAACCCGACUACAUGAAGCUGGAAUCGCUAGUAAUCGCGAAUCAGAAUGUCGCGGUGAAUACGUUCCCGGGUCUUGUACACACCGCCCGUCACACCAUGGGAGUCGGAAAUGCCCGAAGUCAGUGACCCAACCGUAAGGAGGGAGCUGCCGAAGGUGGAGCCGGUAACUGGGGUGAAGUCGUAACAAGGUACC
Molecule: ribosomal RNA, 214 nt
Filed under: uncultured bacterium
Lineage: Bacteria
Description: partial 16S ribosomal RNA
Rfam family: Bacterial small subunit ribosomal RNA
Source: RNAcentral